This 468-nucleotide ribosomal RNA is filed under the name uncultured bacterium. RNAcentral describes it as "partial 16S ribosomal RNA". It matches the Rfam family "Bacterial small subunit ribosomal RNA", at positions 28 to 507 of the family's 1533-position model. The record is from RNAcentral.
GACGAACGCUGGCGGCGUGCUUAACACAUGCAAGUCGAACGGAAAGGCCCUGCUUUUGUGGGGUGCUCGAGUGGCGAACGGGUGAGUAACACGUGAGUAACCUGCCCUUGACUUUGGGAUGACUUCAGGAAACUGGGGCUAAUACCGGAUAGGAGCUCCUGCUGCAUGGUGGGGGUUGGAAAGUUUCGGCGGUUGGGGAUGGACUCGCGGCUUAUCAGCUUGUUGGUGGGGUAGUGGCUUACCAAGGCUUUGACGGGUAGCCGGCCUGAGAGGGUGACCGGCCACAAUGGGACUGAGAUACGGCCCAGACUCCUACGGGAGGCAGCAGUGGGGAAUAUUGCACAAUGGGCGGAAGCCUGAUGCAGCAACGCCGCGUGCGGGAUGACGGCCUUCGGGGUGUAAACCGCUUUCGCCUGUGACGAAGCGUGAGUGACGGUAAUGGGUAAAGAAGCACCGGCUAACUACGUG